GACAGAGGUGCCGAGCGUUAGGCGGAAUCACUGGGCUUAAAGCGUGUGUAGGCGGGCCGUUAAGUAUCUUGUGAAAUCCCCCGGCUCAACCGGGGAAUGGCUGGAUAUACUGGCGGUCUUGAGCAGUCUAGGGGCAGAUGGAACAAGUGGUGGAGCGGUGAAAUGCUUAGAUAUGACAUAGAACACCAAUUGCGAAGGCAGCUCACUACGGAUCGAUUGACACUGAGGCACGAAAGCGUGGGGAUCAAACAGG
This 253-nucleotide ribosomal RNA is filed under the name uncultured bacterium. Its description in RNAcentral is "partial 16S ribosomal RNA". It matches the Rfam family "Bacterial small subunit ribosomal RNA", at positions 524 to 776 of the family's 1533-position model. The record is from RNAcentral.